This is a non-coding RNA of Exophiala viscosa, 131 nucleotides long. NCBI's taxonomy places the organism in Eukaryota, Fungi, Ascomycota, Eurotiomycetes, Chaetothyriales, Herpotrichiellaceae. The record is from the annotation of a RefSeq genome assembly.
GGCGGUGUAGUGCAGAGGUUAGCAUCUCCUUUUCCCAACCAUGGGGGCCGGCACCUCCAGCCCUGUUGGAUGGUUGUCGGUCCUUAGGGUCUAUCGAGAGGAAGACAUUGGUUCGAAUCCGAUCAUCGCCA